CCUACGGUGUGCAGCAGUAGGGAAUAUUGCUCAAUGGGGGAAACCCUGAAGCAGCAACGCCGCGUGGAGGAUGAAGGUUUUAGGAUUGUAAACUCCUUUUGUUAGAGAAGAUUAUGACGGUAUCUAACGAAUAAGCACAGGCUAACUCCGUUCCAGCAGCCGCGGUAAUACGGAGGGUGCAAGCGUUACUCGGAUUCACUGGGCGUAAAGAGUGCGUAGGCGGGGGAAUAAGUUAGAUGUGAAAUCCUGAAGCUUAACUACAGAAUUGCAUUUGAAACUGUUACGCUGGCGUGUGGGAGCGGUAGGUGGAAGUCUUGGUGUAGGGGUAAAAUCCGUAGAGAUCA
This 344-nucleotide ribosomal RNA is filed under the name uncultured bacterium. RNAcentral's name for it is "partial 16S ribosomal RNA". It matches the Rfam family "Bacterial small subunit ribosomal RNA", at positions 338 to 699 of the family's 1533-position model. The record is from RNAcentral.